ACUCCUACGGGAGGCAGCAGUGGGGAAUAUUGCACAAUGGGCGCAAGCCUGAUGCAGCCAUGCCGCGUGUGUGAAGAAGGCCUUCGGGUUGUAAAGCACUUUCAGUUGUGAGGAAGGUGGUGUCGUUAAUAGCGGCAUCAUUUGACGUUAGCAACAGAAGAAGCACCGGCUAACUCCGUGCCAGCAGCCGCGGUAAUACGGAGGGUGCGAGCGUUAAUCGGAAUUACUGGGCGUAAAGCGCAUGCAGGUGGUUUGUUAAGUCAGAUGUGAAAGCCCGGGGCUCAACCUCGGAACUGCAUUUGAAACUGGCAGACUAGAGUACUGGUAGAGGGGGUUAGAAUUUCAGGUGUAGCGGUGAAAUGCGUAGAGAUCUGAAGGAAUACCGGUGGCGAAGGCGGCCCCUGGACAGAUACUGACACUCAGAUGCGAAAGCGUGGGAGC
This 441-nucleotide ribosomal RNA is filed under the name uncultured bacterium. RNAcentral's name for it is "bacterial SSU rRNA". It matches the Rfam family "Bacterial small subunit ribosomal RNA", at positions 335 to 769 of the family's 1533-position model. The record is from RNAcentral.